RNAcentral lists this ribosomal RNA (292 nucleotides) under uncultured prokaryote. Its description in RNAcentral is "partial 16S ribosomal RNA". It matches the Rfam family "Bacterial small subunit ribosomal RNA", at positions 505 to 796 of the family's 1533-position model. The record is from RNAcentral.
GUGCCAGCAGCCGCGGUAAUACGUAGGGCGCGAGCGUUGUCCGGAAUUAUUGGGCGUAAAGAGCUCGUAGGCGGCUGGUCGCGUCUGUCGUGAAAUCCUCUGGCUUAACUGGGGGCUUGCGGUGGGUACGGGCCGGCUUGAGUGCGGUAGGGGAGACUGGAACUCCUGGUGUAGCGGUGGAAUGCGCAGAUAUCAGGAAGAACACCGGUGGCGAAGGCGGGUCUCUGGGCCGUUACUGACGCUGAGGAGCGAAAGCGUGGGGAGCGAACAGGAUUAGAUACCCCGGUAGUCC